This 17-nucleotide ribosomal RNA is filed under the name Mucor moelleri. RNAcentral's name for it is "partial 18S ribosomal RNA". The record is from RNAcentral. Lineage: Eukaryota; Fungi; Mucoromycota; Mucoromycetes; Mucorales; Mucoraceae.
GACUGCGGAUGACAUUA